GUUUGCCUCUGAUUAAAUAUUCCCCUGCAAUGCUAAAAUUAAUGUUUUUAUAUGUGUACCAUUUUUUAAGUUGAUAAUCUGCAUUGCUCUCAGUGGUGGAACUAAAAUAGAAAUUGGCCUGGUCCAAAUAUUAUUUUGAGACCCCCCCUAUCGCAAGGAUGGAAAAAAGGUACAACUCCCACAAUGCUUUGCCAGCUGGGCAUCUACCAUUUGUCCAUCGUUGCAGGGUUGUACUUAGCACUGGGUAUGUUUAUCUGUGAGCAUGUUUUUGAAUGCAGUAUGUGUGUGAAUGUAGGGGUGUAUUUGUGUGUAGUGUGUUAUGUACUGUUACCAUUUUAAAGCAGUGGUUUAUUUGUGUGUUGUAUUUGCUUUUGAAUGUGU
Non-coding RNA from Pelobates cultripes (western spadefoot toad), 381 nucleotides. Lineage: Eukaryota; Metazoa; Chordata; Amphibia; Anura; Pelobatidae. The record is from the annotation of a GenBank genome assembly.